AGAUAGAAGUACUUCGGUACAUCGGUGACAGGUGGUGCAUGGUUGUCGUCAGCUCGUGUCGUGAGAUGUUGGGUUAAGUCCCGCAACGAGCGCAACCCUCGACCUUAGUUGCCAGCAUUCAGUUGGGCACUCUAAGGUGACUGCCGGCUAAAAGUCGGAGGAAGGUGGGGAUGACGUCAAAUCAUCAUGCCCCUUAUGACCUGGGCUACACACGUGCUACAAUGGGCGGUACAAAGGGUCGCGAACCCGCGAGGGGGAGCCAAUCCCAAAAAGCCGCUCUCAGUUCGGAUUGCAGGCUGCAACUCGCCUGCAUGAAGCCGGAAUCGCUAGUAAUCGCGGAUCAGCAUGCCCGCGGUCGAAUACGUUCCGGGCCUU
This 375-nucleotide ribosomal RNA is filed under the name uncultured Anoxybacillus sp. RNAcentral describes it as "bacterial SSU rRNA". It matches the Rfam family "Bacterial small subunit ribosomal RNA", at positions 1007 to 1382 of the family's 1533-position model. Lineage: Bacteria; Bacillati; Bacillota; Bacilli; Caryophanales; Anoxybacillaceae. The record is from RNAcentral.